Molecule: ribosomal RNA, 301 nt
Filed under: uncultured bacterium
Lineage: Bacteria
Description: partial 16S ribosomal RNA
Rfam family: Bacterial small subunit ribosomal RNA
Source: RNAcentral
CAGCCGCCGCGGUAAUACGAAGGGUGCAAGCGUUAAUCGGAAUUACUGGGCGUAAAGCGUGCGUAGGCGGUGAGUUAAGUCUGCUGUGAAAUCCCCGGGCUCAACCUGGGAAUGGCAGUGGAUACUGGCUCGCUAGAGUGUGUCAGAGGAUGGUGGAAUUCCCGGUGUAGCGGUGAAAUGCGUAGAGAUCGGGAGGAACAUCAGUGGCGAAGGCGGCCAUCUGGGGCAACACUGACGCUGAGGCACGAAAGCGUGGGGAGCAAACAGGAUUAGAUACCCGGGUAGUCCCUGUCUCUUAUAC